RNAcentral lists this unclassified non-coding RNA (338 nucleotides) under soil metagenome. RNAcentral's name for it is "partial contains 5.8S ribosomal RNA, internal transcribed spacer 2, and large subunit ribosomal RNA". The stretch from base 1 to 120 matches the Rfam family "5.8S ribosomal RNA", at positions 35 to 154 of the family's 154-position model. The record is from RNAcentral.
GAUGAAGAACGCAGUGAAAUGCGAUACGUAGUGUGAAUUGCAGAAUUCAGUGAAUCAUCGAAUCUUUGAACGCACAUUGCGCCCUUUGGUAUUCCAAAGGGCAUGCCUGUUCGAGCGUCAUUUGUACCCUCAAGCUUUGCUUGGUGUUGGGCGUCUUGUCUCCAGUCCGCUGGAGACUCGCCUUAAAGUCAUUGGCAGCCGGCCUACUGGUUUCGGAGCGCAGCACAAGUCGCACUCUUUUCCAGCCAAGGUCAGCGUCCAACAAGCCUUUUUUCAACUUUUGACCUCGGAUCAGGUAGGGAUACCCGCUGAACUUAAGCAUAUCAAUAAGCGGAGGA